GUUUGAGUGAACUCUGUUUCUCGACUCUCAGGAUCCGUUCAGCUGAAUUAUUAGUUUGUCAUUUCCACAUAGACUUCAUCAUGAAUCACACACAAACACCCCGAGAUGAAGAUGUUUCUCCAGGAUGCAGUUCAAUUCAUCAGAAAAAAUCAGAACCAAAGCCCAGCUGUGUGUCUCUGAGGAGUGAUGAGUCUAUAGGUCAUCCACCAAAUCUCAGUUCAGUUCACCAGAAGAAAUCAGAAGCAGAGCCCAGCUGUGUGUCUCUGAGGAGUGACGCUUCUUUGG
Cyprinus carpio (common carp) is the source of this 285-nucleotide long non-coding RNA. RefSeq lists it as uncharacterized. The record is from RefSeq and is a predicted model, not a curated record. The transcript has 4 exons. Lineage: Eukaryota; Metazoa; Chordata; Actinopteri; Cypriniformes; Cyprinidae.